RNAcentral lists this long non-coding RNA (1200 nucleotides) under Meleagris gallopavo (turkey). RNAcentral's name for it is "lncRNA (ENSMGAG00000018121.1)". Lineage: Eukaryota; Metazoa; Chordata; Aves; Galliformes; Phasianidae. The record is from RNAcentral.
GCAAUGACAUUGCAGGAGGACGGUGCUCACCCUUAAACUUGUGCUGGGGAUUGUUUGCCUGUGCAGCUUUGGGAGAAGGAAAUAAAUAGCUGUUAAAGCAUCAGUCAUAGUGAAGCAGAUGAGAAAGUUCUCCUCUUUUGUUUUACCCUCCGCUGAGAUGGGAGAAGGGGGAAAAAGAAAGAAAUGGGGUAUUUAACAACAUCCACAGCUACAUCUUUUAACUGUGUGGGAACUGUACAGGCAUGGUGUAUUGACACAAAUGGCAUUGGAUGUGAAGGGCUCUGUGUCCAGGCAGAGGGAAAUGCUGUGGCAGUGCCACCACUUCUGAGCACUGAUGUGGAAGAAUUACCUUUGUCACUGCUGUGAUAUUUUUUUAAUGAGACAGAACUGUGGCUCUGUCACUGCUUAUUAAAACCUCUGCAAGCUCACAUGCACCGACGCAGGGGGAUGAGGUGAGAACAUUGCAUGAAGUGCACCAUCACCAAAACACAACUCAGCUCUUUCUUAUUUAUUUUUAAUCCGUUACAAGCACGUGAAUGACUCCUUCCAUUAUUUAUGCUCUGGGAAUAAAGGAUGCUGUUCUCACAGGCUCUGCUUUCAGCUUCAGCUCUGCUCUACGGGUCAGGGAAAGUGGCCACAUCGCUGCCACCCACGAGAGAGGUGACUGCCAUCACUGCUGGGUGUGAUGGUGUGAUUCCCUCCAGACUGCAUCCAUCCAUGCAAGGUGUUCACCACAAGCAGGGCUGGAUUAGCAGGAUAACAGCAGGCAGAUGGUGUGGACCUUUCCUACAUAGCAAAGCUUUGCCAUGCUGCCAGGGAGCCCCAAAUCUGCCAUCUUCAGGGUCCCACAGCUGUCACCUGGGGUGGACGUGGAGGAUCCUGAGGUGGAAGCACCUCAAUCUGGGGCUCCAAGCGGUCGUCGUUAUCACAACCUCACAGCAGUGCUACAGAAAAGCCACCGUGCUUGAAGAGGUGAUGAUUACAAUUGCAAAACCAAAUACCUGUUGCUCAGAACGACCAGAAUUUCAGCUCAAGCAGGCAGAGCGUGUGCUGCAGGCAGCAGGCUCAGCUGUGCACAGUUUGGAGCUCUCUGCCUGCAGGAUCACUGCUCACCUCAUCCCUGUGGCUUUGGGUUCACACUCAGCUCUGUGCCCGCUAUGGGGUGUCAGGGAGGUGGGGCAAUUCCUGCUGCUGUGUUGA